Non-coding RNA from Molossus molossus (Pallas's mastiff bat), 165 nucleotides. RefSeq annotates it as small Cajal body-specific RNA 1. The transcript has a single exon. Lineage: Eukaryota; Metazoa; Chordata; Mammalia; Chiroptera; Molossidae. The record is from RefSeq and is a predicted model, not a curated record.
CAGCACUUGAUACGAACCGAGCUCUCUAUAUCCUAGCCUUGUGCUGAAGGCUUGCCAUGUGUGGUGAGAGCGGGGUUGAAGCAGUGCAAUAUUAAAACAAAAGCCAUGAGUCUUUAAGCCCAGUGUGUAAAGACUCACCGUGAGUUAUAACUCAGUGGCACAACU